UGCACUUUCUCUCACUUGUCCACUUUGGGCACCAUCUCAGGAGGCAUUUUCAUAAGUUUGAAGAAUGCAAUUACCACUUACAGAGAAUCUAUGCUUAUAAAAUUGAUUAAAGGAAGAAGGAGAAAAGAAAAUGCCAGACUCUGAGAAAGUUGCAGGGCCUAAAGAAGACUGUCAGCUUCCAUUUCUCCUAUUUUGUAAAACCAACAACCAUGCUGUAAGCAAAUUCAGGAUAUUCUGCAGGGGAAAGAGAGAGACAACAAAAAAAAGCUUUGGAGAAAAUGAUACAAGGAAAGAAGAUGGCCAUGGGGAGGAAUACAGAAUCACCCAAAUACUGAGUGAAGCCUUCCUGGACCGUCCAGCCUAACCCAGUUGCCAGCAGAAUGCAGCUGAAUAAAUUUCCCAACUGGUUUCAUAGAAUAACCACCUGGAAAAGUACUGCCCCAAAUCCCAAUCCAUACUGUCACAAUAAAUAGU
Mustela erminea (ermine) is the source of this 474-nucleotide long non-coding RNA. RefSeq lists it as uncharacterized. Lineage: Eukaryota; Metazoa; Chordata; Mammalia; Carnivora; Mustelidae. The record is from RefSeq and is a predicted model, not a curated record. The transcript is spliced from 3 exons.